This 253-nucleotide ribosomal RNA is filed under the name uncultured bacterium. RNAcentral's name for it is "partial 16S ribosomal RNA". It matches the Rfam family "Bacterial small subunit ribosomal RNA", at positions 524 to 776 of the family's 1533-position model. The record is from RNAcentral.
GACGAACCGUGCGAACGUUGUUCGGAAUCACUGGGCUUAAAGGGCGCGUAGGCGGCUCCGAAAGUCCGGGGUGAAAGCCCCCAGCUUAACUGGGGAAGUGCCUCGGAUACUGCGGAGCUCGAGGGAGGUAGGGGCGGAUGGAACUUCCGGUGGAGCGGUGAAAUGCGUUGAUAUCGGAAGGAACGCCGGUGGCGAAAGCGAUCCGCUGGCCCUCUACUGACGCUGAGGCGCGAAAGCCAGGGGAGCAAACGGG